This 253-nucleotide ribosomal RNA is filed under the name uncultured bacterium. Its description in RNAcentral is "partial 16S ribosomal RNA". It matches the Rfam family "Bacterial small subunit ribosomal RNA", at positions 524 to 776 of the family's 1533-position model. The record is from RNAcentral.
UACGGAAGGGGCAAGCGUUGUUCGGAAUCAUUGGGCGUAAAGGGCGCGUAGGUGGUUCUGUAUGUCUACCGUGAAAGCGUACGGCUCAACUGUAUUUUGUCGGUAGAAACUGCAGGACUUGAGGCUGGGGGGGGCUGGUGGAAUUCCCUGUGUAGCGGUGAAAUGCGUAGAGAUGGGGGAGAACCCUCGUGGCGAAGGCGGCCAGCUAGACCAGUUCUGACACUGAGGCGCGACAGCGUGGGGAGCAAACAGG